RNAcentral lists this ribosomal RNA (497 nucleotides) under uncultured bacterium. RNAcentral's name for it is "partial 16S ribosomal RNA". It matches the Rfam family "Bacterial small subunit ribosomal RNA", at positions 28 to 507 of the family's 1533-position model. The record is from RNAcentral.
GAUGAACGCUGGCGGCGUGCCUAAUACAUGCAAGUCGAGCGAACGGACGAUAAGCUUGCUUUUCUGAUGUUAGCGGCGGACGGGUGAGUAACGCGUGGAUAACCUACCUAUCAGACUGGGAUCACUUCGGGAAACCGGAGCUAAUACGGGAGAAUAUUCUGAACCGCAUGGUGCAUAAGAGAAAGACGGUCGUUCUGGAAGUUAUAGCUGGAUCCGGGCUGCAUUAGCUAGUUGGUAAGGUAACAGCUUACCAAGGGAAGUAGGCGUAAACGACCUGAGAGGGGGAUCGGCGACAUGGGAACUGAGACACGGUCCAGGCUCCUACGAGAGGCAGCAGUAGGCUACCUGCCGCAAUAGUCGGAAGUCUGACGGAGCAGCGCCGCGUGAGUGGUGGAGGUCCUCGGAGCGUAAUACUCUGUUAUUAGGGAAGAACAUCUGUGUAAGUAACUGUGCAGAUCGUGACGGUAACUAGUCAGAAAGCAACGGCUAACUACGUG